Molecule: ribosomal RNA, 301 nt
Filed under: uncultured bacterium
Lineage: Bacteria
Description: partial 16S ribosomal RNA
Rfam family: Bacterial small subunit ribosomal RNA
Source: RNAcentral
CAGUAGCCACGGUAAUACGAAGGGUGCAAGCGUUACUCGGAAUUACUGGGCGUAAAGCGUGCGUAGGUGGUGGUUUAAGUCCGUUGUGAAAGCCCUGGGCUCAACCUGGGAAUUGCAGUGGAUACUGGGUCACUAGAGUGUGGUAGAGGAUAGUGGAAUUUCCGGUGUAGCAGUGAAAUGCGUAGAGAUCGGAAGGAGCACCGAUGGCGAAGGCAGCCCCCUGGGCCAACACUGACGCUCAUGCACGAAAGCGUGGGGGGCAAACAGGAUUAGAUACCCCUGUAGUCCCUGUCUCUUAUAC